Molecule: transfer-messenger RNA, 398 nt
Filed under: Paludibacteraceae
Lineage: Bacteria; Pseudomonadati; Bacteroidota; Bacteroidia; Bacteroidales
Also listed under: 1 other name
Description: Enterocola sp017646225 Standard tmRNA
Rfam family: transfer-messenger RNA
About the family: Bacterial tmRNA, also known as 10Sa RNA or SsrA, is named for its dual tRNA and mRNA-like properties. Its role is to liberate the mRNA from a stalled ribosome. To accomplish this part of the tmRNA is used as a reading frame that ends in a translation stop signal.
Source: RNAcentral
GGGGCUGACUGGCUUUGACAGCGAGAUGAACUGGUAUGUAAGCAUGCAGAGCGUUGUAAGGGGGCUCUAUAAUCUGAACUUUCAAACUAUAACUGGCAAUAACAAUUAUGCUCUUGCUGCUUGAUCGAAUAAUAGUAGAUUAGCUUUAUCUUGGCACAAGGUGCUAAGACAAGACAUCUCCCAAACGCCGUUGUUUCGAGGCUGUUUGACACGGAGGUGCGGAUAAAUCGAAACUGGUUUGCCUUGGCUUCGCAGGGCAAAUAAGAUUUUAGAAGAUAAGCCGAUUGGUUGGUGGCCUUGGUCUUGCCGUCGGACGAAAAUCAAAGGCAAGGAUAAGCAUGUAGAAAGCGUAUUAUUUCCUCGUUUGGACGAGGGUUCAAUCCCCUCCAGCUCCACAA